Molecule: ribosomal RNA, 486 nt
Filed under: uncultured bacterium
Lineage: Bacteria
Description: bacterial SSU rRNA
Rfam family: Bacterial small subunit ribosomal RNA
Source: RNAcentral
GAUGAACGCUGGCGGCGUGCCUAACACAUGCAAGUCGAACGGAGCUGCUUUGAUGAAGUUUUCGGAUGGAUUUAAAACAGCUUAGUGGCGGACGGGUGAGUAACGCGUGGGUAACCUGCCUCACACUGGGGGAUAACAGUUAGAAACGACUGCUAAUACCGCAUGACACAUUGGGGUCGCAUGGCUCUGAUGUCAAAGAUUUAUCGCUGAAAGAUGGCCUCGCGUCUGAUUAGCUAGUUGGUGAGGUAACGGCCCACCAAGGCGACGAUCAGUAGCCGGACUGAGAGGUUGACCGGCCACAUUGGGACUGAGAUACGGCCCAGACUCCUACGGGAGGCAGCAGUGGGGAAUAUUGCACAAUGGGGGAAACCCUGAUGCAGCGACGCCGCGUGAGCGAAGAAGUAUUUCGGUAUGUAAAGCUCUAUCAGCAGGGAAGAAAAAAUGACGGUACCUGACUAAGAAGCCCCGGCUAACUACGUGCCAGCA